This 276-nucleotide ribosomal RNA is filed under the name Triticum aestivum (bread wheat). RNAcentral describes it as "partial small subunit ribosomal RNA". Lineage: Eukaryota; Viridiplantae; Streptophyta; Magnoliopsida; Poales; Poaceae. The record is from RNAcentral.
AUGAAUUGCAUUGUUUGGAACUGCCGGGGUGCGGGGAACACCUCGACAGUUCGUGAUCUCGUGGCUCUCACUCGAGCCCAUUCCCCGAGCUUUGUCUUUCUAUGUGAAACUAGGCAGCAAAAAGAUAAGAUGUAUCGUCUUCGUAAUCGUGUUGGUCUGCGUGGUUUUGAAGGAGUUAGUAGUGAGGGUAGUAGUGGUGGAUUAGCUUUGUUUUGGGACGAGUCUUUGUACGUUGAUAUUCGUGAUUGCAAUAAAAGAUGGAUUGAUGUGUAUGUC